GUUUAAUGAUAUUUUUUAUGUUAUUACCCAACAGGAUACGUUUAGGAUACAGAGGACUUUGGGAGGUGCCUCAAGCUCCAUGAUCCUGGGGGAUUAGGACUACGGUGUGGAAGCUGCCUGAGAGGAAAGGUUAUCAGCUGGUUUGUCUGCGCACAGGGACCUCUAGAUACUGGAGCACUGGCCACAUGACCAAACGAUGAGUCUGGGGAGCGGUCCUCAGGGACUUGAAAUAGGAAGAAAAAAACAACAACCCCACAGAACUACAAAAAAGAGAGAACAGACAAAGAGGACUGUUGUAAAAAUAAGAAGCUUUGAAGAAUCUGAAGCAGAUGUUAUGCUGGGAGCUAGUAUGUAUUAUAUACCACCUGUGCCCACUUAAUUCCAUCCAAAAUCAUUUCCUCCACAGUUACCAUGAAGAGAGAUGGAAAUUCAAGGAUCUAAAAAUAUUUGGUAGAAGGAAAGGGAGGAAGAAAGUGAAAGGCUGGCAGACCUCCCCAUCAGGGAAUGAAGAGAAGCAAGAGGAAGUUAAAAAAUAUAUAUAUGGAACGUUGGAUCCCCUCCCCCCAAUUUAUGUAUAUACUAUUUUCUACACACUUUUAAAAUAAAGGCUCUUAAAAUUAAAAUCA
This 626-nucleotide long non-coding RNA is filed under the name Felis catus (domestic cat). Its description in RNAcentral is "lncRNA (ENSFCAG00000042505.2)". Lineage: Eukaryota; Metazoa; Chordata; Mammalia; Carnivora; Felidae. The record is from RNAcentral.